Hyla sarda is the source of this 280-nucleotide long non-coding RNA. RefSeq lists it as uncharacterized. Lineage: Eukaryota; Metazoa; Chordata; Amphibia; Anura; Hylidae. The transcript is spliced from 3 exons. The record is from RefSeq and is a predicted model, not a curated record.
GCUGGGUCCUGGGAACAGCAGCGGUGAUGUCAUUAAGCUCCGCCUGUGCCCCAAGCCGGUGCCCGGAGCUGGAGCUAACGGAGGAGAUUAAAGGAGAUCCCUGCCACGGACCGGGACAAGGGUAAGGGGCCAGGAGCUGCCUGAGGAAAUCCCGUGUCGGAGAAGGUCUCUGAACGGUGCUGUGGAGCUGAAGAUAUUCCGCAGGAACUGAGAGAAAGAAACCUCAGAAGGUUCAUCAUUGUCCUCCCUAUAUUCCUGGCAACAUAAAUCAGGGUGUGUA